GUUCUCUCAAUGCUGUGCUCUUGAUUGACCCUCUCCCCCUCCCCCCUGCAUGCCUUUAUCCUUCAAAGUUACGAUGGGGGGUGGGGGGGAGUAAGUAGCCUCUUCAUCCUCCCAAGGCAACCGGGAGGCAGCAUCAGCAGGGAAGAAUUAAUGGGACGUAGUCCAGACCUGGGCCUGGGCGUCAGCCCUCAGCCCCUCAGCCAGUUUCUGUUUGCUUGUGUUGAGAAGUGCUGAUGACUGGGUAGAACAGAUGAGGUCAGUCACAGGUAUAUUUCAGGGAAACAAGAUUCAACCUUAACCCGAUCUGAAGAGCUGGCACAGAGAAACACCCGGUCGGUCUGUGACUUGUCCCCAAGAGAUUGGUUUUCUCAGCCCUUAUCACUGUGGAAUUGCAAAGGUAGAGAUCACCACCCUCCUGGUUCUUCACCUGUCAUCCUAGAGCAGACCUAGAAAAGACGGCCAAGUCCCUUGUGAGCUCAGCCUGAGCAAUCAAACCCCGAAGACUGAGAAUAGCAAUGUCGCUUGCUUGAUAGCUCUCGUACCACUGGAGCAACCACAGGACUGUGCUAAGCCAUAGUUUUGUAAAGUUAUCUUUAGUCAAUCAGCAAUAUGUGUUCCUGUAAAUUUGGAAUGUUUUUCAUUCUGACUUGUUGUCAGGGACUCUACUGAAAAACAACUUGAUCAAUAUAAAAGCGUCCGAGCUAUGCAACACUA
Molecule: long non-coding RNA, 714 nt
Filed under: Rattus norvegicus (Norway rat)
Lineage: Eukaryota; Metazoa; Chordata; Mammalia; Rodentia; Muridae
Description: long non-coding RNA NONRATT023254
Source: RNAcentral